Molecule: ribosomal RNA, 271 nt
Filed under: uncultured bacterium
Lineage: Bacteria
Description: partial 16S ribosomal RNA
Rfam family: Bacterial small subunit ribosomal RNA
Source: RNAcentral
CACCUACGGGAGGCAGCAGUGGGGAAUAUUGCACAAUGGGGGAAACCCUGAUGCAGCGACGCCGCGUGAGUGAAGAAGUAUUUCGGUAUGUAAAGCUCUAUCAGCAGGGAAGAACAUGACGGUACCUGACCAAGAAGCCCCGGCUAACUACGUGCCAGCAGCCGCGGUAAUACGUAGGGGGCAGGCGUUAUCCGGAUUUACUGGGGGUAAAGGGAGCGUAGACGGCAGCGCAAGCCUGGAGUGAAAGGAUGGGGCUCAACCCCAUGACUGC